Siniperca chuatsi (mandarin fish) is the source of this 1008-nucleotide long non-coding RNA. RefSeq lists it as uncharacterized. The record is from RefSeq and is a predicted model, not a curated record. The transcript has 3 exons. NCBI's taxonomy places the organism in Eukaryota, Metazoa, Chordata, Actinopteri, Centrarchiformes, Sinipercidae.
AAUCUGAGCUGAGCUGAGCUAAGUGAAGAUGAGCUGUUUUUGUCUGCCUCACUGGGCUGCAGCACCUCAGAUCAAAUGUGAAACCUGGGUGUCUGGCCAGUCCAGAGACAGCAUAACCAAAAGUGCAGCCAGAUAUCUUCAUUGAACCCUCCUCAUCAUCCGUAACCUCACUUUGGAAUAACGGCAUGUUCUUUAGCAGUAAAAAUGUGUUUUUCCCAAAUACGGCAGGAGGGAGGACAUGACAACGCUCCCAUGCACACAGCCAGGUCAAGAAAUGCUUUUCUGAAAUGACAGAAUUGAGUCCUGACCUCAACCCCAUCCAACAUCUUUGGAAUUAACUGGAAGGCAGACUGCGAGCCAGACCUUAUCAAGCCCAAAAUCUGCUGAGAUCAAAGUCUGAAACCAGCAGAGUGGUGGCUGAUAUAGCAGCACAUUAAUGCCCAUGGUUUUGGAAUGACAGACAUGUUCAUUGUAAUGUUUGGGUGUCUGCAUACUUUUGGCCAGUCCAGAGAUAGCAUAACCAAAAGUGCAGCCAGAUAUCUUCAUUGAACCCUCCUCAUCAUCCGUAACCUCACUUUGGAAUAACGGCAUGUUCUUUAGCAGUAAAAAUGUGUUUUUCCCAAAUACGGCAGGAGGGAGGACAUGACAACGCUCCCAUGCACACAGCCAGGUCAAGAAAUGCUUUUCUGAAAUGACAGAAUUGAGUCCUGACCUCAACCCCAUCCAACAUCUUUGGAAUUAACUGGAAGGCAGACUGCGAGCCAGACCUUAUCAAGCCCAAAAUCUGCUGAGAUCAAAGUCUGAAACCAGCAGAGUGGUGGCUGAUAUAGCAGCACAUUAAUGCCCAUGGUUUUGGAAUGACAGACAUGUUCAUUGUAAUGUUUGGGUGUCUGCAUACUUUUGGCCAGUCCAGAGAUAGCAUAACCAAAAGUGCAGCCAGAUAUCUUCAUUGAACCCUCCUCAUCAUCCGUAACCUCACUUUGGAAUAACGGCAUGUUCUUUAGCAGU